Molecule: ribosomal RNA, 511 nt
Filed under: Candida albicans
Lineage: Eukaryota; Fungi; Ascomycota; Pichiomycetes; Serinales; Debaryomycetaceae
Description: eukaryotic LSU rRNA
Rfam family: 5.8S ribosomal RNA (bases 144-297)
Source: RNAcentral
AAUUAGGAAAUUGCUUAUUGCACCACAUGUGUUUUUCUUUGAAACAAACUUGCUUUGGCGGUGGGCCCAGCCUGCCGCCAGAGGUCUAAACUUACAACCAAUUUUUUAUCAACUUGUCACACCAGAUUAUUACUAAUAGUCAAAACUUUCAACAACGGAUCUCUUGGUUCUCGCAUCGAUGAAGAACGCAGCGAAAUGCGAUACGUAAUAUGAAUUGCAGAUAUUCGUGAAUCAUCGAAUCUUUGAACGCACAUUGCGCCCUCUGGUAUUCCGGAGGGCAUGCCUGUUUGAGCGUCGUUUCUCCCUCAAACCGCUGGGUUUGGUGUUGAGCAAUACGACUUGGGUUUGCUUGAAAGACGGUAGUGGUAAGGCGGGAUCGCUUUGACAAUGGCUUAGGUCUAACCAAAAACAUUGCUUGCGGCGGCAACGUCUACCACGUAUAUCUUCAAACUUUGACCUCAAAUCAGGUAGGACUACCCGCUGAACUUAAGCAUAUCAAUAAGCGGAGGAA